RNAcentral lists this ribosomal RNA (498 nucleotides) under Lactobacillus gasseri. RNAcentral's name for it is "bacterial SSU rRNA". It matches the Rfam family "Bacterial small subunit ribosomal RNA", at positions 52 to 510 of the family's 1533-position model. Lineage: Bacteria; Bacillati; Bacillota; Bacilli; Lactobacillales; Lactobacillaceae. The record is from RNAcentral.
UACAUGCAAGUCGAGCGAGCUUGCCUAGAUGAAUUUGGUGCUUGCACCAGAUGAAACUAGAUACAAGCGAGCGGCGGACGGGUGAGUAACACGUGGGUAACCUGCCCAAGAGACUGGGAUAACACCUGGAAACAGAUGCUAAUACCGGAUAACAACACUAGACGCAUGUCUAGAGUUUAAAAGAUGGUUCUGCUAUCACUCUUGGAUGGACCUGCGGUGCAUUAGCUAGUUGGUAAGGUAACGGCUUACCAAGGCAAUGAUGCAUAGCCGAGUUGAGAGACUGAUCGGCCACAUUGGGACUGAGACACGGCCCAAACUCCUACGGGAGGCAGCAGUAGGGAAUCUUCCACAAUGGACGCAAGUCUGAUGGAGCAACGCCGCGUGAGUGAAGAAGGGUUUCGGCUCGUAAAGCUCUGUUGGUAGUGAAGAAAGAUAGAGGUAGUAACUGGCCUUUAUUUGACGGUAAUUACUUAGAAAGUCACGGCUAACUACGUGCCA